Molecule: small RNA, 28 nt
Filed under: Bombyx mori (domestic silkworm)
Lineage: Eukaryota; Metazoa; Arthropoda; Insecta; Lepidoptera; Bombycidae
Description: ovarian small RNA-32038
Source: RNAcentral
UGACUUAAUUAAGCAUAAUUCUGGUAAU